CCUACGGGGUGCUGCAGUGGGGAAUAUUGGACAAUGGGCGAAAGCCUGAUCCAGCCAUGCCGCGUGUGUGAAGAAGGCCUUCGGGUUGUAAAGCACUUUCAGUGGGGAAGAAAGCCUUGGGGCUAAUACCCUCGAGGAAGGACAUCACCCACAGAAGAAGCACCGGCUAACUCCGUGCCAGCAGCCGCGGUAAUACGGAGGGUGCGAGCGUUAAUCGGAAUUACUGGGCGUAAAGCGCGCGUAGGCGGUCUGAUAAGCCGGUUGUGAAAGCCCCGGGCUCAACCUGGGAACGGCAUCCGGAACUGUCAGGCUAGAGUGCAGGAGAGGAAGGUAGAAUUCCCGGUGUAGCGGUGAAAUGCUUAGAGAUCGGGAGGAAUACCAGUGGCGAAGGCGGCCUUCUGGACUGACACUGACGCUGAGGUGCGAAAGCGUGGGUAGCAAACAGGAUUAGAUACCCGUGUAGUC
Molecule: ribosomal RNA, 465 nt
Filed under: Vreelandella stevensii
Lineage: Bacteria; Pseudomonadati; Pseudomonadota; Gammaproteobacteria; Oceanospirillales; Halomonadaceae
Description: partial 16S ribosomal RNA
Rfam family: Bacterial small subunit ribosomal RNA
Source: RNAcentral